ACGCCCGUAAAUGCCUAGUCUUUCGGCCUUCUAAGCCGUAGGUCACACGUUCGAGUCGUGUAGGGCGGGCCA
Molecule: transfer RNA, 72 nt
Filed under: Burkholderia cepacia
Lineage: Bacteria; Pseudomonadati; Pseudomonadota; Betaproteobacteria; Burkholderiales; Burkholderiaceae
Description: tRNA-Arg
Source: RNAcentral